UACGAAGGGGGCUAGCGUUGCUCGGAACCACUGGGCGUAAAGGGUGCGUAGGCGGGUCUUUAAGUCAGGGGUGAAAUCCUGGAGCUCAACUCCAGAACUGCCUUUGAUACUGAAGAUCUUGAGUCCGGGAGAGGUGAGUGGAACUGCGAGUGUAGAGGUGAAAUUCGUAGAUAUUCGCAAGAACACCAGUGGCGAAGGCGGCUCACUGGCCCGGUACUGACGCUGAGGCACGAAAGCGUGGGGAGCAAACAGG
This 253-nucleotide ribosomal RNA is filed under the name uncultured bacterium. RNAcentral's name for it is "partial 16S ribosomal RNA". It matches the Rfam family "Bacterial small subunit ribosomal RNA", at positions 524 to 776 of the family's 1533-position model. The record is from RNAcentral.